CUGGCUCCCCUCGAACUUCCUUCGAGUCCUUCUUGUGGUCUUCGAUUGGCAAAGUCUCCACUAAUUAUUUUCCUUUUAUGGUCGCCAAAAAGCAUUGUCAGAUGAGCACUCGAUCUCUUGAAACUUCUCCAAUGCCAUUCCUACUCAGGAAUCUCACUAGUAGAUGGUAUGUGGAGAGUAUCGCUAAAAAGGCAUUCAAUUUGGGCCAUCUAAGAAUCAC
Molecule: long non-coding RNA, 220 nt
Filed under: Elaeis guineensis (African oil palm)
Lineage: Eukaryota; Viridiplantae; Streptophyta; Magnoliopsida; Arecales; Arecaceae
Description: long non-coding RNA (EGUI_LNC072050)
Source: RNAcentral